UUGGAACAGAAAGAAACACCGGCUUAAAUCCGUGCCAGCAGCGGCCGGAAAUACGGAGGGUGCGGAGCGUUAUUUGGAAUUUUCGGGGGGUAAAGAGCAUGCAGGGGGUUCAUUAAAUCAGAGGUGAAAGCCCGGGGUUCAACCUCCGAAACUUCAUUUGAAAAUGGUGAAAUAGAGUACUGUAGAGGGGGGUAGAAUUUCAGGGGUAGCGCUGAAAUGCGUAGAGAUAUGAAGGAAUACCAGUGGCGAAAGCGGCCCCCUGGACAGAUAUUGACACUCAGAUGCGAAAGCGUGUGGAGCAAACAGGAUUAGAUACCCCGGUAGUCCACGCCGUAAACGAUGUGUACUUGGAGGUUGUGGCGCUGAGCGGUGGCUUUCGGAGCUAACGCGUUAAGUAGACCGCGCGGGGAGUACGGUCGCACGAUUAAAACUCAAAUGAAUUGACGGGGGCCCGCACAAGCGGUGGAGCACGUGGUUUAAUUCGAUGCAACGCGAAGAACACUACAUACUCUUGACAUCCAGAGAAGCCAGCGGAGACGCACGUGUGCCCUCGGGAGCUCUGAGACAGGUGCUGCACGGCUGUCGUCAGCUCGUGUUGUGAAAUGUUGGGUUAAGUCCCGCAACGAGCGCAACCCCUAUCUCUGUUUGCCACCGAGUAAUGUCGGGAACUCCACGGAGACUGCCGGUGAUAAACCCGAGGAAGGUGGGGACGACGUCAAGUCAUCAUGGCCCCUACGAGUAGGGGUACACACGUGCUACACUGGCGCAUACAGAGGGCGGCGAACUUGCGAGAGUGAGCGAAUCCCACAAAAUGCGUCGUAGUCCCGAUUGGAGUCUGCAACUCGACUCCACGAAGUCGGAAUCCCCUAGUAUUAUUCGAUCAGG
RNAcentral lists this ribosomal RNA (885 nucleotides) under Vibrio sp. CSMCRI-1107. RNAcentral describes it as "bacterial SSU rRNA". It matches the Rfam family "Bacterial small subunit ribosomal RNA", at positions 475 to 1353 of the family's 1533-position model. The record is from RNAcentral. Lineage: Bacteria; Pseudomonadati; Pseudomonadota; Gammaproteobacteria; Vibrionales; Vibrionaceae.